This 712-nucleotide unclassified non-coding RNA is filed under the name Zea mays. RNAcentral's name for it is "misc RNA Zm00001eb247400". Lineage: Eukaryota; Viridiplantae; Streptophyta; Magnoliopsida; Poales; Poaceae. The record is from RNAcentral.
UUUCGCUCCCCACCUCAGCAGGUCGGGAAGAGCUUCCCUGUCCGCUCUCACGAAGCCUCCUCCUCCCCGUCUCCCUCGCAAAGCCACCGCCUCCUCGUCUCCCUCUCGAAGCCGUCGCCGCCCACUGCCUCGCACUCUCUUGGACUGGAUCUGUCGUCGUCCGGUGAUUUUGCUGAACACGAGCACUUCCUGCUUCCUGGCACCGCGCGCUCGGCAACAGAUCUCCCUCCUCUUCGCUGGAGCCUGGGCCCGAGGAUCCUGCAAGCCGGCAGCUGGAGAAAGGCGAGCGACAUGGCGACCUCCACAAUGCGGCUGGUGAAGGACGAGAAAGGUGAGCACCUUAGCCUUGUCACAGAUAUUUUUCUUUUUCAUCGAUUAUUUUUCUUUUUCCAUCAAUCAUCGGUGGCUAGUGACCCGCUGCACCCUCUUUAUUUCUUUUCUGAAGCUGAAAACAUGCAUAUCUGUGAUGCAUAAUAUAUAUAUUAAUUUUUGACUAAACGAUGACACUUGCUUAGUUGGGAGCUAUUUUACAUGUGGAUUCAGUCAUGGCCUUUCACGUUGUGUGUAGCUAGCCUCCUGAAUUCACUUCUUUAGCUAAGAUAUUUCUGUAGAACGGCCACCAAGGCUAGGCUGGUUCAGUAGUCCAUGAUUUUCACAUUGUGUACAACCUCUGACCUCAGUUCUAAAUCUAGUACAAAGAUUUAUUGCAGAA